RNAcentral lists this microRNA precursor (105 nucleotides) under Haemonchus contortus (barber pole worm). RNAcentral's name for it is "microRNA hco-mir-9 precursor". Its record names the gene hco-mir-9. The stretch from base 23 to 80 matches the Rfam family "mir-9/mir-79 microRNA precursor family", at positions 1 to 62 of the family's 78-position model. Rfam says of the family: The mature ~21nt miRNAs are processed from hairpin precursor sequences represented here. miR-9 is processed from the 5' arm of its precursor, and miR-79 from the 3' arm. The bounds of the precursors are predicted based on conservation and base pairing and are not generally known. The record is from miRBase by way of RNAcentral. Lineage: Eukaryota; Metazoa; Nematoda; Chromadorea; Rhabditida; Trichostrongylidae.
UCUAAAAGCCGAGCCUAUUGAUCUCUUUGGUUAUCUAGCUGUAUGACUUUAUGGACUCAUAAGGCUGGACGACUAAAGGAAUCAAUUCGUCGCUCGCUCUCUUGA